This 1041-nucleotide long non-coding RNA is filed under the name Anser cygnoides (Swan goose). RNAcentral describes it as "lncRNA (ENSACDG00005014400.1)". The record is from RNAcentral. Lineage: Eukaryota; Metazoa; Chordata; Aves; Anseriformes; Anatidae.
AUGCUUGCCCACGGUACCUUAGUGGUGCUGAGUGUCCUGGGUACCCCUGAAGCAGCUGGGGUGGCACUGGAGCUGCCAUCCCACGCUAUCACAGUAGUGUCACUGCUGGCUGGUGAUGCUGUCCCCAGCCCUGCUUCACUAAUUGGAGUUUUGCUAAUGAGGGCAGCUGGCUGGGUCCCGGUGCCAUACCCUUGGAGGGAAGACGUCGGCUUUGCUCCAUCCGUGAGGGACAAGGACGUGCCCACGCUGGGGCUGGCCGGAGGGGAUCUGUCCCCAUCCGCCUGUGCCGUGGUGGUCCUGGGGACUGCAGAGGAGGACCCAGGGGAGAGGCCACCACCAGGGAGUGACACAGCAGGGGCCGUGCUGGGGACCUGCCCCGCGUCCAGCUGCAUGGGGGUGGCCUCGCUGUGCAGGGCGGCAGUGCCCGUUGUGGCUCCAGCACCAGCGGCCACCAGCUCAGCAUUUCCCAGGGCUGGAAGCGGCGCGGUGGGGCCGUGCGCUGUGGCGGUGACAUCCAGGGCCACGGCUGGUGGUCCCAGGGACGGUGUGGUGGCACGGGGACGGGUGGCAGGGUUGGAUCCAAGCAGCCCAGCUCCAGCAGUGCCAGGGGCUGGUGUCCCUGGCUCCGCAGCCUCGCUGACAGCAGCAGUGGCAGGAGGAAAGGUGACCGCUGCUGAGGAUGCUUCUGGGGGGACUGCAGGCAGUGGGGUCCUGGAUCCUUCUGUGGCUGCAUGGAGAGGAGCCCCGGUGGCUGCUGACAUGGUGGGGUCGGUGACACAGCCAGCCAGGGCUGCUGGUGGCUCCACGGAGUGGCCCGUGUCCCCGGGGGAGGCCGGCGAGAUGCUGGCUGCAGUGGCAGGAGGAGAGGUGGCCGUGUCCAGCUCUGGUGUGGCCUUUUGGGACGGGAGCGCGGUGGUUGCGUAUGGCUCAGUGGGACUCUUGCUGAUGGCAGGGGGUGCUGUCCCUGUGCUGUGUUCGACACGGGAUGGCACGGUGGUCCACGCUGUCCCCAGCGUCCCCUCUGCGGUGACAGCGCUGUAG